Molecule: ribosomal RNA, 443 nt
Filed under: uncultured bacterium
Lineage: Bacteria
Description: partial 16S ribosomal RNA
Rfam family: Bacterial small subunit ribosomal RNA
Source: RNAcentral
CCUACGGGAGGCAGCAGUGGGGGAUAUUGCACAAUGGAGGAAACUCUGAUGCAGCGACGCCGCGUGAGUGAAGAAGUAUUUCGGUAUGUAAAGCUCUAUCAGCAGGGAAGAAAGAAAUGACGGUACCUGACUAAGAAGCCCCGGCUAACUACGUGCCAGCAGCCGCGGUAAUACGUAGGGGGCAAGCGUUAUCCGGAUUUACUGGGUGUAAAGGGAGCGUAGACGGCGAUGCAAGUCUGAAGUGAAAGGCGGGGGCCCAACCCCCGGACUGCUUUGGAAACUGUAUGGCUGGAGUGCAGGAGAGGUAAGUGGAAUUCCUAGUGUAGCGGUGAAAUGCGUAGAUAUUAGGAGGAACACCAGUGGCGAAGGCGGCUUACUGGACUGUAACUGACGUUGAGGCUCGAAAGCGUGGGGAGCAAACAGGAUUAGAUACCCGAGUAGUC